RNAcentral lists this long non-coding RNA (1084 nucleotides) under Phoenix dactylifera (date palm). Its description in RNAcentral is "long non-coding RNA (PDAC_LNC013697)". The record is from RNAcentral. Lineage: Eukaryota; Viridiplantae; Streptophyta; Magnoliopsida; Arecales; Arecaceae.
UCGCCGCACCACCCCAUCUCGGCCGGAUCGCGCCUCGCCGGAGCAAGGUAACGGCUCUGGUCUUUCUCAUAUUCCUUCCGUUAGCCGAAAUCCGGCGAAAGAUCACCAAAAACAUCCCCAUGCCUCUCUCUUGUCAGUGGCCGUUCUAUCGCCGCCGUGCUGUCGGCCCUCCGGCUGCAACCGCCGGUCAUCCGGCCACAUCUGUCGUCGGAGGUCUCCUCCUCCCCUCCCCUGCUUCAUGGUGGGGCCGGUUCACAUCCCCUGUUCCGCCAAAGAAAAAGGAGGAGAGGGCGAUGAAGAAGAGAGGAAAAAGAAAGGAAGAAAGAAAGAAAAAGAAAAUGAAAAAAAAAAAAAAAGAGAAGAGAAAAGAGGAAAGAGAAAAUUGGGAAAAAUUAUAUAUAGGUAAAUAAAAGUUAGAGAGAGAUUUCAUUCUUGGUUCAACUUCUCUCUUCACCUGACCUAUAGAUCUUAUUAAAGAGUCCUAGUUUGAUGUUGCAGCGACAGAUUGGACUAGUCUUUUCUACCUCUUUACUUAGUUUGGGCUUGAAGCCUACUCAAUUCUAUUUCUGUCUCUAGAGUUUUUUAAAUUAUAUUUAGAUUUUCAAAUAGUUGACUAUCAAUUUAUUUAUCUUCUUAAACAGUUUUGGAUAGGUAUAACCGAUUUGCCCAACUGAACCUAUUGAUCUUUGGACGAACAGAAGUAAGUGACUCUUGCACAAAUCUUGCUAAUUCUUGAAUUAUUGAUCAAUUUAAUUUAUAUGAAAUAGAAAAAUAUAAAUUAUAGUGAUGUGACUGGCUCUGCAUUCUUUUAAAAAUUUAGGAUCCAUGAUUAUGAUAAAUUCAUAUCUUAGUAUUGUGCUUUACUGUGGAUGAUUUUUGCAUGAAUUACAUUCUCUAAAAUUAUGGGAAAAAAUUGUAUGCUACUAUAAAAUGAUUUAUAUGACAAGAUUAUGCUUUUUAAACUUUUAAAAUGCUAUUAAGCAUGUUUUCAACCUAAUUAUAUUGGUAUGAUUUAUGAAAAAUAUGAAAUAUUUUAUGAGCUCUCAAAUAGUUAUAACCGCCCCUAGAAACAUGGGCCAAUCGA